CUCUGUAAUAUCACGUCUACUGUGUGGAUCGGUGGUUAUUUUAAUAAUAUAUAUCAACAUUUAUCAACAAUUUUUUUAUCCAUCUGUAUUGGUGUUUGGAUAUUUAUCUAUGUCAUGGAUUAAGAAUAUAGAGUUGUCAACACAUCUACAGUGAUAUGAUUAUCUUCCACAGUGUAACUAUAAGAAGAAUGUAAAAUGAUAAUGGGAAAAAUUAAAGUAUUAUUGUUGUGUUGGUACCUGAUAUUGGUAUAUAUUGUCGCACAGUCAGAAUCUAAUGUUAGUACAGCUUGUUAUGGUGCACCAGGUACAGGAAGAUGUAUUGAACAUAAACUGAUCUGUAGACAACCAUUGUUUAUAUCAAUAACUAAUAUAA
Patella vulgata (common limpet) is the source of this 373-nucleotide long non-coding RNA. RefSeq lists it as uncharacterized. The transcript has 3 exons. The record is from RefSeq and is a predicted model, not a curated record. NCBI's taxonomy places the organism in Eukaryota, Metazoa, Mollusca, Gastropoda, Patellidae.